This 202-nucleotide ribosomal RNA is filed under the name uncultured bacterium. RNAcentral's name for it is "partial 16S ribosomal RNA". It matches the Rfam family "Bacterial small subunit ribosomal RNA", at positions 1300 to 1500 of the family's 1533-position model. The record is from RNAcentral.
GGAGUCUGCAACCCGACUCCACGAAGCUGGAUUCGCUAGUAAUCGCGCAUCAGCCACGGCGCGGUGAAUACGUUCCCGGGUCUUGUACACACCGCCCGUCACACCAUGGGAGUCGGUAACACCCGAAGUCAGUAGUCUAACCGCAAGGAGGACGCUGCCGAAGGUGGGAUUGACGACUGGGGUGAAGUCGUAACAAGGUACC